Prunus dulcis (almond) is the source of this 818-nucleotide long non-coding RNA. RefSeq lists it as uncharacterized. The record is from RefSeq and is a predicted model, not a curated record. NCBI's taxonomy places the organism in Eukaryota, Viridiplantae, Streptophyta, Magnoliopsida, Rosales, Rosaceae. The transcript is spliced from 3 exons.
GUUCUUUGUCGAAAAUUUCUUCUUCCUUCUCGACUCGACGCUCAGCUCUCUCAGCCAACUAGCCACGUCAGUCUUAGCCUGUCAAUCUCAAAUCUUGGCGUCAACCACUUCGAAUCUUGAAGCGGGUGUUCGCUGUCAUCUCAGAUAGACCUCCUCUUCCUCAACCGACCCGCUCCCUCUGCUGCUCCUGAGAAAGAGAAGGGGAAGGAAGAAUACAAGGAUGUAAGUUUUAAUCAAUUGGUUCGACCUCUGUCAAUGUUGGCAUUUUUAAUCACCCAACUAUGCUUCUGGCUACUGGCUACAGAAGUCACUACUAGAAGAAAAUGAACAAAAUAUGCGUUGUCACUCAUAUGCAAUUGUGCUCUCAUCACUCUCAUCCUCAAUCGGGUGCUGGGCCUGAUUAUCAACUAUCUGGUCAUCGACCACUUGCAAAUCCAUGGGGUCCUCAAACAUUGGUCGAUUCAUGGGGUCCUCAUCUUCAACUGCUGGCGGAUUCACUAGGUCCUCGUCCUGUGGAAGAUUCUCAAAUGGAAUUGGAUGGGCUUCUACUGGCAGAUCAUCAAUCCGGUGCAAGUAAAAAUAUAUGGCGUCUAUGCUUUCAAUCAUCAUACUCAUGACCUCCUCCCAAGGCCUCUGAUUGACACCAUGAGUAUUCUCAUAUAAAACAAUAUUAUGAAAUUCAUACCAGUAGUCGUAGUCGUCUAGAACAUCAUGCUCUAGUAAUGGAUUACCUUUUAGCAACAGUAAUAGCAUCCUCCAGCUCUUAGACACUUUGAUGGUUUGCAAUAUUAAUCUGUCCUAUGUAAUGAUCCAUUCCA